UCUUUGGUUGCUUGGCUGUAUGAUUGAGUUUGCAAGAUCAUAAAGCUAUGCUACCGGAGGCU
RNAcentral lists this microRNA precursor (62 nucleotides) under Magallana gigas (Pacific oyster). Its description in RNAcentral is "Mgi-Mir-9-P18_pre stem-loop". It matches the Rfam family "mir-9/mir-79 microRNA precursor family", at positions 2 to 62 of the family's 78-position model. Rfam says of the family: The mature ~21nt miRNAs are processed from hairpin precursor sequences represented here. miR-9 is processed from the 5' arm of its precursor, and miR-79 from the 3' arm. The bounds of the precursors are predicted based on conservation and base pairing and are not generally known. The record is from RNAcentral. Lineage: Eukaryota; Metazoa; Mollusca; Bivalvia; Ostreida; Ostreidae.